GUGAGGGUGACUAAAAUGUAGAAAUCUCAUCAAGCAUAGGCCCAGGACAUUUCCACUCCCGUACAAGGAUAUGGCCCCUCCCUAAAGACCAACUUUGAAUGAUGGCUAGGUUUUCCCAGGCUCAUAUGCACAGUGUGAAAUGGUCUGGGGAUAGGGUUAAGGUAAAUCAUAGUAAUGUCGUCAAAUUCUCCCUUAGUCAUUACUAUGUUUGGGAGGCAUGAUGACGCUGUAAAUGCUUGUUGGACUUUUGACAUGUUCCCAUCUCGCUUGGUAAACAUUGACAGUGUAACAGUGGUGCCAAAUAGUCAUUAUUUCUCUACGAAAUGUUACAAUCGCAAAUUUUGAUGCAAUAUAUUUGGUUUUGCAUUUAUUUAUUUUGUUAUAGCUCCCCUCACACUGCAUCUGUCCGUUCGUGUGCGGGUCCACCUUCCUGCCAGACGGUUUGGUUUGGCUGCUCCAGAUUUGGUUUGAGGAGAAAGGUGGUGGACAAAAAAUGGAGGGCAUCUUCACUUGUAGUGAGAACAUUUAGGAGCUCAUGGAAUUCAUCAAUACCAGAUGACACGGAUCCAGAGAACACUAUGAGAAGUUGUUGGUACAGCUGUCUAAGGUCAUUGCCGUGUGGAAACCUCAGUUGGCAUCCUCCUGUCUUCCAGAUACUGCUGACCAAGCUGCCCUCCAUUAGCCAGAUUGAGGAUGCUCCCAAGAAAAGCAAGGGCUAGAGUGGCACCAGAAUUGUCACAACAAAACUGUAAUAAUUUGUGCUUCUUGUUCACGGGUGGUUCUGGUUGAUGUUGUGUCUCAUUUCCAUGUAUAAUUUUAGUAAGUUAGCAGAACAACAUACAAAAACAAUUAGGGUAAACUGUCAAGUACAGAAAAACAGAUUUUUCACCUUGCCUGAAUUAGAUUUGAUCGAGCAAACUGGCUAACGGCUUGGCCAUACACUGUCACUCCAUAACUGGAAUUAAGUAGGAACUUAGUCCCCGAUUAUACUACUAAUACUACAGACUAUGUAUUAGAAAAAUUGAUGCAAAUGUAACUAUUAUUACUAAACUGUAUUCAAUUAAAUGCAUAGUGUCACUUUGUUACAAUCCACUUGUCACAUGUUGAAUAAGACAUUGUGCAAAUGGAAAUACAAUACAUAAAUGUUCUUCCAGAUUAAGUUAUUUGAAUCUUAUGUUUAAAACUAUUAGCCUAUCAACGAAACCUAAUUAAAACCUUUGUGGAAAUUGUA
This is a long non-coding RNA of Esox lucius (northern pike), 1231 nucleotides long. RefSeq lists it as uncharacterized. The record is from RefSeq and is a predicted model, not a curated record. The transcript has 2 exons. NCBI's taxonomy places the organism in Eukaryota, Metazoa, Chordata, Actinopteri, Esociformes, Esocidae.